UGCCACUUUGUAGAUGCUCCUACUGGUU
Molecule: non-coding RNA, 28 nt
Filed under: Mus musculus (house mouse)
Lineage: Eukaryota; Metazoa; Chordata; Mammalia; Rodentia; Muridae
Source: RNAcentral